UUACGGUCAUAUGACGUUGUGACACCGCUUCUCGUACGAUCACCAAAAUUAAGCAACGUCAAACAUGGUCAGUAGUUAGAUGGGUGACAGCUUGGAAAUACCAGGUAUCGCAG
Molecule: non-coding RNA, 113 nt
Organism: Acanthosepion pharaonis
Lineage: Eukaryota; Metazoa; Mollusca; Cephalopoda; Sepiida; Sepiidae
Source: the annotation of a GenBank genome assembly